GAAAAGAAACGCUAAUACCGCAUAACAUCAAUUUUAUUCGCAUGAUAGGUUGAUCAAAGGAAGCAANCCGCUGGAAGAUGGACUCGCGUCCGAUUAGCCAGUUGGCGGGGUAACGGCCCACCAAAGCGACGAUCGGUAGCCGGACUGAGAGGUUGAACGGCCACAUUGGGACUGAGACACGGCCCAGACUCCUACGGGAGGCAGCAUG
This 208-nucleotide ribosomal RNA is filed under the name uncultured bacterium. RNAcentral's name for it is "partial 16S ribosomal RNA". It matches the Rfam family "Bacterial small subunit ribosomal RNA", at positions 152 to 353 of the family's 1533-position model. The record is from RNAcentral.